UAAACGACUCUCGGCAACGGAUAUCUCGGCUCUCGCAUCGAUGAAGAACGUAGCGAAAUGCGAUACUUGGUGUGAAUUGCAGAAUCCCGUGAACCAUCGAGUCUUUGAACGCAAGUUGCGCCCGAAGCCUUGGCCGAGGGCACGCCUGCCUGGGUGUCACACAU
RNAcentral lists this ribosomal RNA (164 nucleotides) under Combretum bracteosum. RNAcentral describes it as "5.8S ribosomal RNA". It matches the Rfam family "5.8S ribosomal RNA". Rfam says of the family: 5.8S ribosomal RNA (5.8S rRNA) is a component of the large subunit of the eukaryotic ribosome. It is transcribed by RNA polymerase I as part of the 45S precursor that also contains 18S and 28S rRNA. Lineage: Eukaryota; Viridiplantae; Streptophyta; Magnoliopsida; Myrtales; Combretaceae. The record is from RNAcentral. RNAcentral also lists the same sequence under 2 other names.